RNAcentral lists this ribosomal RNA (871 nucleotides) under uncultured bacterium. RNAcentral's name for it is "bacterial SSU rRNA". It matches the Rfam family "Bacterial small subunit ribosomal RNA", at positions 527 to 1398 of the family's 1533-position model. The record is from RNAcentral.
GAAGGGACCUAGCGUAGUUCGGAAUUACUGGGCUUAAAGAGUCCGUAGGUGGUUGAAAAAGUUGGUGGUGAAAUCCCAGAGCUUAACUCUGGAACUGCCAUCAAAACUUUUCAGCUAGAGUUUGAUAGAGGAAAGCAGAAUUUCUAGUGUAGAGGUGAAAUUCGUAGAUAUUAGAAAGAAUACCAAUUGCGAAGGCAGCUUUCUGGAUCAUUACUGACACUGAGGAACGAAAGCAUGGGUAGCGAAGAGGAUUAGAUACCCUCGUAGGUCCAUGCCGUAAACGAUGUGUGUUAGACGUUGGAAAUUUAUUUUCAGUGUCGCAGCGAAAGCGAUAAACACACCGCAUGGGGAGUACGACCGCAAGGUUAAAACUCAAAUGAAUUGACGGGGACCCGCACAAGUAGUGGAGCAUGUGGUUUAAUUCGAAGAUACGCGCAGAACCUUACCAACACUUGACAUGUUCGUCGCGACUUUAAGAGAUUAAAGUUUUCGGUUCGGCCGGACGAAACACAGGUGCUGCAUGGCUGUCGUCAGCUCGUGUCGUGAGAUGUUGGGUUAAGUCCCGCAACGAGCGCAACCCUCACUUUUAGUUGCCAUCAUUAAGUUGGGCACUCUGAAAGAACUGCCAGUGAUAAGCUGGAGGAAGGUGGGGAUGACGUCAAGUCCUCAUGGCCCUUACGUGUUGGGCUACACACGUGCUACAAUGGUAUUUACAACAGGAAGCAAGACGGCGACGUUAAGCAAAUCCUUAAAAAAUACCUCAGUUCGGAUUGCACUCUGCAACUCGAGUGCAUGAAGCUGGAAUUACUAGUAAUCGUGGAUCAGCGUGCCACGGUGAAUGCGUUCCCGGGUCUUGUACACACCGCCCGUC